CCAGGAUGGAGAACAGGGGUCAGGAUGGAGAACAGGGGUCAGGAUGGAGAACAGGGGUCAGGAUGGAGAACAGGGGUCAGGAUGGAGAACAGGGGUCAGGAUGGAGAACAGGUGUCAGGAUGGAGAACAGGUGUCAGGAUGGAGAACAGGGGUCAGGAUGGAGAACAGGGGUCAGGAUGGAGAACAGGGGUCAGGAUGGAGAACAGGGGUCAGGAUGGAGAACAGGGGUCAGGAUGGAGAACAGGGGUCAGGAUGGAGAACAGGGGUCAUGGUGGAGAACAGGGGUCAUGGUGGAGAACAGGGGUCAGGAUGGAGAACAGGGGUCAGGAUGGAGAACAGGGGUCAUGGUGGAGAACAGGGGUCAGGAUGGAGAACAGGGGUCAGGAUGGAGAACAGGGGUCAGGAUGGAGAACAGGUGUCAGGAUGGAGAACAGGUGUCAGGAUGGAGAACAGGGGUCAGGAUGGAGAACAGGGGUCAUGGUGGAGAACAGGGGUCAGGAUGGAGAACAGGUGUCAGGAUGGAGAACAGGGGUCAGGAUGGAGAACAGGGGUCAGGAUGGAGAACAGGGGUCAGGAUGGA
Molecule: long non-coding RNA, 580 nt
Organism: Oncorhynchus tshawytscha (Chinook salmon)
Lineage: Eukaryota; Metazoa; Chordata; Actinopteri; Salmoniformes; Salmonidae
Source: Ensembl